UACGAAGGGGGCUAGCGUUGCUCGGAAUCACUGGGCGUAUAGGGUGCGUAGGCGGGUCUUUAAGUCAGGGGUGAAAUCCUGGAGCUCAACUCCAGAACUGCCUUUGAUACUGAAGAUCUUGAGUUCGGGAGAGGUGAGUGGAACUGCGAGUGUAGAGGUGAAAUUCGUAGAUAUUCGCAAGAACACCAGUGGCGAAGGCGGCUCACUGGCCCGAUACUGACGCUGAGGCACGAAAGCGUGGGGAGCAAACAGG
RNAcentral lists this ribosomal RNA (253 nucleotides) under uncultured bacterium. RNAcentral's name for it is "partial 16S ribosomal RNA". It matches the Rfam family "Bacterial small subunit ribosomal RNA", at positions 524 to 776 of the family's 1533-position model. The record is from RNAcentral.